This 587-nucleotide long non-coding RNA is filed under the name Capra hircus (goat). Its description in RNAcentral is "lncRNA (ENSCHIG00010019256.1)". The record is from RNAcentral. Lineage: Eukaryota; Metazoa; Chordata; Mammalia; Artiodactyla; Bovidae.
UGGGUCUACUCAGCCUCAAGCAGAUACCCCUUGGAUGAGCUCACUGCGGUCCCAGCUGAACUUACACUCGCCCAUUGUGCUUGGUGACGGUGAGGACUGUCCGGGUGGAGGACCCUGCCUCUGCCCUCCUCUGCUGUUCCUGGUCAGAUCCCUUCCCACUCUUCCAGGGCAAAGGACCCCUGCACACAUCAACCCCCUGAAGUGAAGGCCGUACCAGAGGGUGUACUAGUUUCAUUUUGUGUUCUUCUAAUUUGCUGACCAUGUGUGGAGUAUGUAACUACAGUCCAGGCUUGUCUGCAUCAAGAAUAAAACGACCCUGUUUAUUGUCCACUGAGCUCCUGGAGCAAAGGAAGAGAUCUCCUCCAACUGCCUCAACAGUCUGCCUCAGGACCUGUGUUCUCUCCUCGGUAUUGACUGUGAAUAGCCUGAACCCACCUCUAGCUGUUGGUGAUCCUGAAAUUGUGCCUUUAUGCCAACUCCACUCUGUGUCAGGACAGCAUGGCAUUUUUCCUCCUCUGCUAAACACACACACAAUCUUACACACACACACACCCUCUAAACCUUUUUAUGCACUCUAUCGUCUUUAA